This 376-nucleotide long non-coding RNA is filed under the name Androctonus crassicauda. The record is from RNAcentral. Lineage: Eukaryota; Metazoa; Arthropoda; Arachnida; Scorpiones; Buthidae.
CUUUUUAAAGACCGGUUUAACUCUCCCUCAUGCUUGAGGGAGAGACUGGUGCGGCUGUGAAUGAACCUGGUUCCUUCAAGAAGCCUUUUCUGCACAGUUAGCGCAACUGCAUUCCUGAAGGGGACGUCCAUGUGAAGACGUGUGUAAGCUAUUCCGGGUGUGAUCGUUGAGCAUUAAUCUUUUUAUGAAGGUCACUGGACGGUAAGGAGGGACAGCUGCUAGGACAGCCCUGGGUUCUCCCAGGACCAAAAGGUUAGAUAAACUGUUUUUAGGAUUUAUUCAGGGCAGUGAUUUCCAUGUCAGUUUAAUUACCUUCACGUCUUACAAGACCGACAAUCAGGGUACCAAGACAUCUUAUGAAACCACAGGCUCUGAG